RNAcentral lists this ribosomal RNA (431 nucleotides) under uncultured bacterium. Its description in RNAcentral is "partial 16S ribosomal RNA". It matches the Rfam family "Bacterial small subunit ribosomal RNA", at positions 29 to 507 of the family's 1533-position model. The record is from RNAcentral.
AACGAACGCUGGCGGCAGGCUUAACACAUGCAAGUCGAGCGCCCCGCCAGGGGAGCGGCAGACGGGUGAGUAACGCGUGGGAACGUACCUUUUGGUUCGGAACAACUCCGGGAAACUGGAGCUAAUACCGGAUAAGCCCUCACGGGGAAAGAUUUAUCGCCGAAAGAUCGGCCCGCGUCUGAUUAGCUAGUUGGUGAGGUAACGGCUCACCAAGGCGACGAUCAGUAGCUGGUCUGAGAGGAUGAUCAGCCACACUGGGACUGAGACACGGCCCAGACUCCUACGGGAGGCAGCAGUGGGGAAUAGUGGACAAUGGGCGCAAGCCUGAUCCAGCCAUGCCGCGUGAGUGAUGAAGGCAUUAGGGUUGUAAAGCUCUUUUGUCCGGGAAGAUAAUGACUGUACCGGAAGAAUAAGCCCCGGCUAACUUCGUG